AGCGAACGCUGGCGGCAGGCUUAACACAUGCAAGUCGAGCGGGCCCUUCGGGGUCAGCGGCAGACGGGUGAGUAACACGUGGGAACGUACCCUUUGGUUCGGAAUAACGCUGGGAAACUAGCGCUAAUACCGGAUACGCCCUUUUGGGGAAAGGCUUGCUGCCGAAGGAUCGGCCCGCGUCUGAUUAGCUAGUUGGUGGGGUAAUGGCCUACCAAGGCGACGAUCAGUAGCUGGUCUGAGAGGAUGAUCAGACACACUGGGACUGAGACCCGGCCCAGACUCCUACGGGAGGCAGCAGUGGGGAAUAUUGGACAAUGGGCGCAAGCCUGAUCCAGCCAUGCCGCGUGAGUGAUGAAGGCCUUAGGGUUGUAAAGCUCUUUUGUCCGGGACGAUAAUGACGGUACCGGAAGAAUAAGCCCCGGCUAACUUCGUG
RNAcentral lists this ribosomal RNA (433 nucleotides) under uncultured bacterium. Its description in RNAcentral is "partial 16S ribosomal RNA". It matches the Rfam family "Bacterial small subunit ribosomal RNA", at positions 29 to 507 of the family's 1533-position model. The record is from RNAcentral.